AGCUUCGUGGCGCAGUGGAAGCGCGCCGGGCUCAUAACCUGGAGGUCCUCCGAUCAAAACGGAGUGAAGCUA
This 72-nucleotide transfer RNA is filed under the name Hypoxylon fuscum. RNAcentral describes it as "tRNA-Met". It matches the Rfam family "tRNA". Rfam says of the family: Transfer RNA (tRNA) molecules are approximately 80 nucleotides in length. The record is from RNAcentral. Lineage: Eukaryota; Fungi; Ascomycota; Sordariomycetes; Xylariales; Hypoxylaceae.